Molecule: small nucleolar RNA, 216 nt
Gene: U3
Rfam family: Small nucleolar RNA U3
About the family: Small nucleolar RNAs (snoRNAs) are involved in the processing and modification of rRNA in the nucleolus. There are two main classes of snoRNAs: the box C/D class, and the box H/ACA class.
Source: Ensembl
AAGAUCAUACUUUCAGGGAUAAUUUCUUUAGUCUUUGACUUGAGAAAUAUCGUACGAACGUGAUCGGUUACUCUAACCACGAUGAAGAGAACUGAUGUUCCCUGCUGAGCGCGAAGCGGGGCAGUGAGUGAUGAUGCAUUUCAUUUGUCCUUGUCAUUGAUGACCGUUCCAUUCUCUCUAGUGGAGCCUGGAGGAAGGGAACAUGAUCAGAGUGGU